CCUGUCUUGCAUUUGUAGGAGUUCUUGACAUAUUUUGGGCCCUGAGCCUAUGCCUGGAUAAGCUACAGAUAUUUUCUCCCAUCCUGUCCCUUGCUUUUCGACUUUGUUUUUUAUUUCUCUUCUUGUUGAGCUGAUAGAUAUUAAUAAAACUUUUCACAGCAAGUCACCAAAAGAGUUAGCAAUUCACCGAAAGAAGCAAUAACAAUGGCCAAGGUGUGAUGAAUGCUUCCUCUAUGCAAAACAAGGCUGCAGCCAGGAAUAUUGUUAAGGAUAUUACCCACCAUGUUGCCUGUCUUCCUCAUGAAGACCUGUGGGGAGACUUUCUUUUUAACCUCUGAAUUUGGAAAAGGAAAGUGCUUAAGGCUCACGUCCUCCGGCGUCCACCUCUCAGAAUAACAGAAAACGUCCCAUCGGUGUCCAAGCGCAUCCUGCUGUGACAUUCCACUGCGUCAAAAGAGACUCCCUCCUUCUUUAAUUAUAAGUGACCGGAGGGUGGGGGUCUUUUCUCCACAGUGUGUCUCCCAAAGCUCUUAACACAAGGCCAGUCGUAGUAACAACUCCUUUUUCCUUUUCCGAAAACUCACUCACGGUCAACACACACACAGAGUCUUCCUUCUCGGGGGUCCCAGAGGAUAGGCAAAGUGGGCUACUGGCAAGUUUAGUGGUACAACUGGAUCCCCCUUUUAUAGAGGCAGUCUCAUUGUAAUAAAGAUAAUUUUUGGAAAGUCCUAGGUUUGAGU
This is a long non-coding RNA of Bos indicus x Bos taurus (hybrid cattle), 740 nucleotides long. The record is from Ensembl. Lineage: Eukaryota; Metazoa; Chordata; Mammalia; Artiodactyla; Bovidae.